CAAAGGCUCUGUUAUAAAGAACUUCAUUUAUGUGUAUGUGUGUGUAUCUAUAAGAAUCCAUGUGCACUGUAUCUAUGCAGGUGCCUAUGGAGGCCAGAAAAUGCAUUGGAUUCUCUGGAACUGGAGUUAUAGAUGGCUGUAAGCUUCCAUGUCGGUGCUGGGAACUGAACCUGGGUCCUCUGCAAGAGGACAAAAGUGCUCUAAACCACUGAGACAUCUGUCCAGCCCCCGCAAAGGCUCUUUUUAAAGAAAUUACACAGGAUUAUAGAAUCCCAACCCAAGUAUGUAAUAUACUUUGAGCAUAUUCCCAUCAUUCCCUGCUGCCCUCCUUCCAAUCCCCACCCUUCAUUUACUCCCCUUUAUUCUCCAGUUUUGAUGCUUUUCUCAUGUUAUCUAUACAUCUGUCAUUUUAUACAUUAUUAUGUAUAGGGCUUACAAAUGAGAGAAAACAUGUGGUAUUUGUUUCUCUGAGACUGGCUUAAUUUGCUCUAUAUAAUUGUCAGCAUGUAUCCAUUUUCCUGAAAAUGCUAACAUUCUUCUUUAUGCCUGGAAAGUUCUACUAUGUGGAACAUAGAACACAUAUUCCUUUUUUGAGACAUGAUUUGACUUUGUAGCCUUAGCUAGCCUAGAACCCACUAUGUAAACCAGGCUGUUCUUGAACUCACAGAGUUCCACCUGCUGUGGCCUCCCGAGUGUUGGGAUUAAAAACGUGCGCCAGCAUACCUGGCCCUGGAACACAUUUUCUGUCCCUUCCCUUGCUUGCUGGUCACCUGCUGCUGCAGUAAAUAUUGAAGUAAAAGUAUCUCCUUGACGUGCUGAUUCGGUGUCUUUUGCAAAUACCCAGGCGUGGUAUGGCUGGGUCAUACAGAAGUCAGACCAGAAGUCAUCCAGCAGGCCUACUCUUAGGCUGAUGAGGAACCUCCACACCAAUUUCCAGCAGGCCUACUCUUAGGCCGAUGUGGAACCUUCACACCGAUUUCCAUACUUGGCUCAGCUAGUUUACAGCCCACCAGCAGCGGCUACAGGUUCACUUUCUCUCAGAACUCUUGCCAGCAUUUGCUGCCACUUCAUUUAUGGAUGGCUGUCAUUCUCCUCGGGUUCGAAGUGGUGUCAAACCCCAAGUCUGGUCCAGAAGUGGGUGUGUGGUAAGGGUCUCCUCAACGGUUCCAGAAUGGACUUGCCACUCAACAGGCCAGCCAGAGUCGCCUGGGGAGUUCUGCUAGAGCCCAAGAAGGAAGGAAUUAUGUCCAUCCCGAGGACAGCAGCUCUUUAAUGCAUGGACAACUGUGUUGAUGAUGCAUUCAGUUUCGGAGAAUUUUCCAAUGGAAAAAAGUGCUCUGGAGAAGUUUAAGCGCCAUGAAUCACCCAAACCUCAUCUAAGUCUCGUGAAGGCACGGGCUGUGGAAGGCAGUCACAGGGAGAAGACGUAUUGCAGUUGUGCCGCCUGAUUCAACUAAAUAGAAAAAUAUUUUGUAAAGACACGAGGAUUUCAGGCUGCUGGCAGAGUGCUAAGGAUAAAUGCCACAUUCCGUCAGAAAGGCAAAAAACGCGGGACCUGCUGAUCGCCCCCGCCCCCUUCCAGGAGCAGACCCAGAAGCCCAGCUUCCUUCAGUAUGCAAAAGGCAAACGCCUCGUCUCGGGGUCACAGGAAAGCACCAGGAACGCAGCAGCCUUUUCGUGCUAAUUAUUUCCAAACGAUACCAGGCAUCCGAAAUGGUUUGAUGAGGCGAGGAAGUCUAUACAUUUUCCCUGUGUGAUGGAGGUAGAUCGCGCAGCACGGUGACACUUACAGCAGGCGGUGCUGCACACACCUGCUGUGGGAGGAGUUGGACCUCUCUGUCCUGUCUGAGGAGCACAGGAGCAGGGCGCGGGAGAGCGUUCCCAUGUACCCCUUUAAGGCAGUGCUAGCUCUGAGGAGAACUCGUAUUUUAUUUCAGCUGUGGAAUGCAGUCAGUGUGUCUGUUGCCUGGGCCACCUCUUCCAUCGUCACUUGAUAGUGCCUUGAACACAGUCUCUUUGAAAACUUGGAGUCUUUCCCUUCUCCUGUCUCCUAAUCCCUGCUCUACAGGCUCGGACAUUCCAGCCCAGUUGGAAGGGUGCACUAGCGACCUUCUGUAACUGGGAAUCCACUUGCCAGCAGAGGGAAGACGGAGACCUUAGCUUUACAUGUCAGCUUUCUCGUUGGUUUCCACUUCAAAGAAAACUACAGUAUGGUUUACAUGACAGGUUGGUUCCCCGAGGCUUCACUUGCAGGGACAUCCCCACCCCCACCUUCACUGACUUCUUCUCCUCCCUAUCACCUUUAUGGAAACAACCAUCAACACGCUUUUUUAAGGUGACCAGAACCUGCACGGAGUUUGAUUCUGAAACGCACCAGCAGGCUUGUGUGUUGAGGACUUGAUCCUCCUUUGGUGAGCUACUUUGGGGAAGUUUUGGAAACCUGGGAGAGUCAGAGCCUCCACCUAGGAUGUAGGUCACUGGAGGCUGCCUCUGAUAGCUAGUCCAAGUCCCCAGUGACCACCGCCUGUCUCUCUGCUUCUGGUCUGUGAAGUGGGUCUAUUCCACGGUACACCUCCACUGCUAUGAUGGUCGGCGUCCUCACAGUCCCGGAAGUAAUGAAAAUGAACUGUGGUCGGAAAAUCCUUUAACUGUGAGCCAAUGUCAACCUUUGCCCUUCAAGCUGCUCUCUUGGGGGUUCCGUCACAGCUGGGAGAGAAGAACGCAGAGGACAGGGCUGGGCACCAGCUCUCUGGGCAGGCUGCACUUGGCUUUUGAAGUCCGUGUGGAGUGAGGCUUUGUCUCCUUGGUCACCUGACUAUGGGGCUCAGAGCCACCGGAGCAGCUCACGAGUAGAGGCAGCACACUUUCCUCCCUCAGCUCAGCAAUUCCAUGGGGUCCUCUUUUUGCAGAGAGCAGCUUACAUUUUCAAAAUCCUACUUUCUCAGUUUAUAUCUAAACCUUUAUUUGUAAAAGCCGCAUAAACAUGACAUUGUCUUAGAGCAACCAUCCUCAACCUGUGGUUUGCGACCCCUUGGAAAACCUCUAUCUCCAAAAAUACCUAAACUACAAUUCGUAAUAGUAACAAAAUUACAGUUAUAAAGGAGCGACGAAAAUAAUUUCAUUUUAAGGGGUCACCACAAUAUGAGGAACUGUAUUAAAGGGUCAUAGCAUUAGGAAGGUUGAGAACCACUGCUCUAGAGGACGAUGCUAAUUUUGGUUGACAACUUGACUUUAUAUAUAUACAUAUAUAUGUAUAUGUACAAGCACACAUACAUAUAAAUUCAUUCCAACAGUCUGUUCCUUUAGGGAGCAGAUCUCCAGUCUGGCUCUAGGUAGUCAUUGCCAGUGAAAUGAAGUCUUGCAUGUGAUACUUAGGGUCCUAGGCUCCUAGGCAUAUGUGGACUCACCAUUAAGCCAAUUCUAAAGGGGACAGAGAGAUGGAAACAUCAGUCCAGUACAUCCCCCAUUGAAUAGGGAUUGAAGGCUGUGGAUGUGGUCAAUAAAAACAAUGGUGGCAGCUUCUCACGGUUUCUCCACCCAAACCGUUUCCUGGAAUGUCUCUUUAGCACCAAAGAGAGAUGUGACAAUACUGCAUACCACAUGUACAGAUUUAUUUUCAGUUAAAAAGCUUUCUCUCCAUGCAAACCCUUUGCUAUUCUCUUUGGGUUGCACAGCCAGCGUGUCCCAACUGUGAAGUGACUUAACACAUGAUGAUUUGAUUAUACAGCUUUAUUUACUGCUUUGUGUAUAUUUAGAUAAGUACAGCAUUUCCUCUACAACCCCACUGUAUGUCUAGGGCAGUGGUUCUCAAUUUGUGGAUCUUGACUUCUUUGGGGGUCGAAUGAUCCCUUCCUAGGUGUCACCCAAGACUAUCACAAACACAGAUGUUUACAUUAUGAUUCAUAACAGUGGCCAAAUCACAGUUAUGAAGUAGCAAUGAAAAUAAUGUUUUGGUUGGGGGCCACCACAGCGUGACCUGUAUUAAAGCGGCCCAGCGUUGGGAAGGUUGAGAAGCACUGCUUUAGGGUGUCUCAUGCCCUGCCCUCAGUGGGCUGUCACUGACAGUGGCCUGCCUCCCAGCUGCAACACAAGCAGUGAAAAUUCAGUUGUUCUCUGUUGAUGGUUUGGUUCUUAAACAUACGCUAGUUUAUUCAGGCACAAUGGCACAUGCCUGUAACACCAGCUCGAGAGGUGGAGGCAGAAAGAUCAGGGCUUCAAGGCUAGCCUCUGCUACAUGCCAAGGUCAAACUAGCCUAAGCUACUUGUGAUCUUACUUCAGCAGCAGCAACAACAACGAUAACAACACAAAAAUGAAACCACUAGUUCAAUAAAUUAUUGAAUGGUGCAACCAGAAAAAUGGUAAUGGAGGGAAUGGAUACAGAGGAACAGACAGGUAGAGCUGUUCUGGGAAAUGCCAGAACUAGCUCCACAAGAGGGUCCGGGUUCAAUUUCUAGUCACACUACUGAGCAGCUAUGAGUCUCGAGCAAGUUUUCUCCUCUCUAAGGUCCCCAGCGCCUCUUGUGGGGUAUGGGUCAUCUUCUCACUUCUCACAGUGUAGCUAUGAAACCAAGUUAUUCAGAUGGCACCCAUGAUAAUCCUUCAUAAAUCAUAAAGUGCACUGUGAGUGAUGUUGGUACAGAGGUCACAACUGCUGUGUUCUUGGUCUAAUGAUCCUUAGAGUCUCAGCAUGUCCCAAAAGAGGUUCUUAUAUUUAAUAAGAACUUGAGAAGAUUCAAAGAUGGUUUCUUUCUAUGGCUUUCUGGAUUCCUCCUUAGGAAUAUCCCUUCUGUCUUAUUUCUAAAACAGUGAAAUUUACAGUAAUUUGUUAUGGUCUCAGAUCACCAGUGAACUGUAUCCGAAAACAAAGCAGCACUAAUAGAUUCUUCUUAGUCACCAUAACUGUUUUAGAGAUUACCACCAACCCCAAAUAAGACGAUCUCAAACCUCUGCUUUUGGGGAAAACACAAGUAGGUGAACAAGAACCUUUGUGUCAACCAAUCAAUAUAUUUGAUGUGGGUUUUUGUUAUUUAAUGUUGUAAGUUCAUUAACACUAAACUCAUGGCCAACAUCAUUGCCUCUUGUCCCCGCGUGAGGCUUAGCCAACCCAUCUGUUUCCUACAUCAGGGCCAGCACAGCCUCUGUGUGCACAGGGACAUCAGGGAAAACACUUUGCACUGUGCUUGAGGCCCAUUUUAAGCAUCACAACAAAAACCACAAAGUGCCCAAAGUGGCAAGAGUACAAGUGAAAGGAGACUUGUGCAGUAGACCUUGUGUAAGAAGGCACUGUCACCUGGCUCAGCCCCAGCUGAAGGUGUGGAUGCUGAGCCACUGUUUUGUGUGCAAGGGAAGGCCAGAGGACCACAUGAAUGCCGUUGCUGUCCAGACAUGUUUGUUUUUGUGUUUUUUUUUUGUUGUUGUUGUUUAUUUUGUCACGAGGUCUCUCAUUGGACUAGCACUUGCCAAAGAAACUAGUGAGCCCCAUGAUUCUUCCUGCCUCUGCCUCCCCAGUGCUGGGAUUUCUAGUACAUGCCACCACAGCUGACUGUUAUAUGUGGGUUCUGGAAACUGCACACAGGUCCUCAUGCCUUCCACUUUACCCACUGAGUCACCUCCCCAGGCCUAAUACUCUGUAUCUUUGCAAAUAGCCAAAAACGCGCUGUGAGCUCUGGCUGUAGGUUUAGAGUAUAUGCAAAUUUGCAAAGAUGGAAUCUGCAAAUCAGAAGGACUGACUACACCUCUGAAGGACAGAGCUAGGAGUGAUGGUGGGAAAUAUGGUCACAGUCUGUAAUCUGACUUUAAGAAGGAAGCAUUUCUUACAGUUCUAACCAUGUAGCAAGAGAGUCUUUGCAUGCUUUGUAGACAGCAUAUGGCUUGGAUUGAUGCUGGCAAAGGUACAUAUCGAAAGAGGGGCCACAACCUAGGAGUCGAGUAAGUGACGACUGGAGAGGAACGCCAAAGACAGCCACGAGUUAUUGAUCAUUCUCUAAAAUCUCCACUCUCUUCUGCCUAAAAUAGAAUUUCAACCAAGCCAAUAUCCAGCACCAUAAAACCUAAAAAGCAGGGCUCGUUUAAAUGAGAGCGCGUGCGUGAGUGUCCUUUGCUCUUGCCAGUGCUGGACCUCAGAGACCCCAAGCAUCUCUUAGCCGCUGUGUAUCAGUGAAGAGAAGUAAGGUCAUUGAUCUGGAAGAGUUGGUUCCUUGGUAAGUCACUGGAACAUCAAAGACAGAAGUUCUCUGGGAAGAAGUCCCUUUGAAAACUGUCUGACCAGAGCAGAAAGAAAAGCUGCCUCUCUGGGAAGGUCUGAGCAAUCUAGAAGGCUAAGUCCACAGAAAGCUCCCCUGUGUCUGUUUCCUGGUAGAGAACAAAGUGACCUCUAGGGGGACAAGUUGUUAAUAAUAAUAAUAAGGUAAUAGCAAUUGUUGUUAGUAAUAGUAUGAUAAUAACAAGACACAAUUAAAGAGCUGCAGAAUAAACUGCUUAGAUUUAAAUUGUGUUUUCCUUGUGUGUGUGUGUAUG
Long non-coding RNA from Alexandromys fortis (reed vole), 6517 nucleotides. RefSeq lists it as uncharacterized. NCBI's taxonomy places the organism in Eukaryota, Metazoa, Chordata, Mammalia, Rodentia, Cricetidae. The record is from RefSeq and is a predicted model, not a curated record. The transcript has 3 exons.